UGGGGAAUUUUGGACAAUGGGGGCAACCCUGAUCCAGCAAUGCCGCGUGUGUGAAGAAGGCCUUCGGGUUGUAAAGCACUUUUGUCCGGGAAGAAAUCGCCCCUGAUAAUACCGGGUGUGGAUGACGGUACCGGAAGAAUAAGGACCGGCUAACUACGUGCCAGCAGCCGCGGUAAUACGUAGGGUCCAAGCGUUAAUCGGAAUUACUGGGCGUAAAGCGUGCGCAGGCGGUUGUGCAAGACCGAUGUGAAAUCCCCGGGCUUAACCUGGGAAUUGGAUUGGUGACUGCUCGGCUAGAGUGUGUCAGGGGGGGGUAGAAUUCCACGUGUAGCAGGGAAAGGCGUAGGGAGGUGGAGGAAUACCGAUGGCGGAGGCAGCCCCCUGGGAUAACACUGACGCUCAUGCACGAAAGCGUGGGGAGCAAACAGG
RNAcentral lists this ribosomal RNA (429 nucleotides) under bacterium. RNAcentral's name for it is "partial 16S ribosomal RNA". It matches the Rfam family "Bacterial small subunit ribosomal RNA", at positions 355 to 776 of the family's 1533-position model. The record is from RNAcentral.